Molecule: ribosomal RNA, 253 nt
Filed under: uncultured bacterium
Lineage: Bacteria
Description: partial 16S ribosomal RNA
Rfam family: Bacterial small subunit ribosomal RNA
Source: RNAcentral
UACAGAGGGUGCGAGCGUUAAUCGGAAUUACUGGGCGUAAAGCGCGCGUAGGCGGCUUUGCAAGUCGGGUGUGAAAUCCCCAGGCUUAACCUGGGAACUGCAUCCGAGACUGCAUUGCUAGAGUAUGGGUGAGGGAAGUGGAAUUUCCGGUGUAGCGGUGAAAUGCGUCGAUAUCGGAAGGAACAUCAGUGGCGAAAGCGACUUCCUGGACCAAUACUGACGCUCAGGUGCCAAAGCGUGGGGAGAAAACAGG